UCCUAAUCGAUUUUGUAAAGUUAUAAAAGGUGCUAAAUCGAUUUUCCAAUCGAUUAUCGCGAUCUUGGUUUUCUUUAAUCUUGAAACUAUACAAGCUAAUCGAUUUACCAAUCGAUUCUUUAAAAGCAACACUUUUCAGUAGAACAUGUCCAGACUUGCAUAAAUCGAUUGCCUAAUCGAUUUCUGGGAAACUGUUUCAAUAAAAGUAUUUCAAUCGAUUUCUCAAUCGAUUUGCCAAAUCUCAGAGUUCACUGUGUUUUCAAAAAGUUUAUUUCAAUCGAUUUGCCAAUCGAUUGUGUUCAAAACAGUGGCUCAGUUUUUGAUGUCAAUCGAUUCGCCAAUCGAUUUAAUUCAAAACAGUGACUCAGUUAUUUGAUGUCAAUCGACUUGUCAAUCGCUUUGGUAGCAUGUUCCUGAAAAG
RNAcentral lists this long non-coding RNA (421 nucleotides) under Cicer arietinum (chickpea). RNAcentral's name for it is "long non-coding RNA (CARI_LNC003035)". Lineage: Eukaryota; Viridiplantae; Streptophyta; Magnoliopsida; Fabales; Fabaceae. The record is from RNAcentral.